Molecule: ribosomal RNA, 2787 nt
Filed under: Escherichia coli O104:H4
Lineage: Bacteria; Pseudomonadati; Pseudomonadota; Gammaproteobacteria; Enterobacterales; Enterobacteriaceae
Description: bacterial LSU rRNA
Rfam family: Bacterial large subunit ribosomal RNA
Source: RNAcentral
AGCGUACACGGUGGAUGCCCUGGCAGUCAGAGGCGAUGAAGGACGUGCUAAUCUGCGAUAAGCGUCGGUAAGGUGAUAUGAACCGUUAUAACCGGCGAUUUCCGAAUGGGGAAACCCAGUGUGUUUCGACACACUAUCAUUAACUGAAUCCAUAGGUUAAUGAGGCGAACCGGGGGAACUGAAACAUCUAAGUACCCCGAGGAAAAGAAAUCAACCGAGAUUCCCCCAGUAGCGGCGAGCGAACGGGGAGCAGCCCAGAGCCUGAAUCAGUAUGUGUGUUAGUGGAAGCGUCUGGAAAGGCGCGCGAUACAGGGUGACAGCCCCGUACACAAAAAUGCACAUGCUGUGAGCUCGAUGAGUAGGGCGGGACACGUGGUAUCCUGUCUGAAUAUGGGGGGACCAUCCUCCAAGGCUAAAUACUCCUGACUGACCGAUAGUGAACCAGUACCGUGAGGGAAAGGCGAAAAGAACCCCGGCGAGGGGAGUGAAAAAGAACCUGAAACCGUGUACGUACAAGCAGUGGGAGCACGCUUAGGCGUGUGACUGCGUACCUUUUGUAUAAUGGGUCAGCGACUUAUAUUCUGUAGCAAGGUUAACCGAAUAGGGGAGCCGAAGGGAAACCGAGUCUUAACUGGGCGUUAAGUUGCAGGGUAUAGACCCGAAACCCGGUGAUCUAGCCAUGGGCAGGUUGAAGGUUGGGUAACACUAACUGGAGGACCGAACCGACUAAUGUUGAAAAAUUAGCGGAUGACUUGUGGCUGGGGGUGAAAGGCCAAUCAAACCGGGAGAUAGCUGGUUCUCCCCGAAAGCUAUUUAGGUAGCGCCUCGUGAAUUCAUCUCCGGGGGUAGAGCACUGUUUCGGCAAGGGGGUCAUCCCGACUUACCAACCCGAUGCAAACUGCGAAUACCGGAGAAUGUUAUCACGGGAGACACACGGCGGGUGCUAACGUCCGUCGUGAAGAGGGAAACAACCCAGACCGCCAGCUAAGGUCCCAAAGUCAUGGUUAAGUGGGAAACGAUGUGGGAAGGCCCAGACAGCCAGGAUGUUGGCUUAGAAGCAGCCAUCAUUUAAAGAAAGCGUAAUAGCUCACUGGUCGAGUCGGCCUGCGCGGAAGAUGUAACGGGGCUAAACCAUGCACCGAAGCUGCGGCAGCGACGCUUAUGCGUUGUUGGGUAGGGGAGCGUUCUGUAAGCCUGUGAAGGUGUACUGUGAGGUAUGCUGGAGGUAUCAGAAGUGCGAAUGCUGACAUAAGUAACGAUAAAGCGGGUGAAAAGCCCGCUCGCCGGAAGACCAAGGGUUCCUGUCCAACGUUAAUCGGGGCAGGGUGAGUCGACCCCUAAGGCGAGGCCGAAAGGCGUAGUCGAUGGGAAACAGGUUAAUAUUCCUGUACUUGGUGUUACUGCGAAGGGGGGACGGAGAAGGCUAUGUUGGCCGGGCGACGGUUGUCCCGGUUUAAGCGUGUAGGCUGGUUUUCCAGGCAAAUCCGGAAAAUCAAGGCUGAGGCGUGAUGACGAGGCACUACGGUGCUGAAGCAACAAAUGCCCUGCUUCCAGGAAAAGCCUCUAAGCAUCAGGUAACAUCAAAUCGUACCCCAAACCGACACAGGUGGUCAGGUAGAGAAUACCAAGGCGCUUGAGAGAACUCGGGUGAAGGAACUAGGCAAAAUGGUGCCGUAACUUCGGGAGAAGGCACGCUGAUAUGUAGGUGAAGCGACUUGCUCGUGGAGCUGAAAUCAGUCGAAGAUACCAGCUGGCUGCAACUGUUUAUUAAAAACACAGCACUGUGCAAACACGAAAGUGGACGUAUACGGUGUGACGCCUGCCCGGUGCCGGAAGGUUAAUUGAUGGGGUCAGCGCAAGCGAAGCUCUUGAUCGAAGCCCCGGUAAACGGCGGCCGUAACUAUAACGGUCCUAAGGUAGCGAAAUUCCUUGUCGGGUAAGUUCCGACCUGCACGAAUGGCGUAAUGAUGGCCAGGCUGUCUCCACCCGAGACUCAGUGAAAUUGAACUCGCUGUGAAGAUGCAGUGUACCCGCGGCAAGACGGAAAGACCCCGUGAACCUUUACUAUAGCUUGACACUGAACAUUGAGCCUUGAUGUGUAGGAUAGGUGGGAGGCUUUGAAGUGUGGACGCCAGUCUGCAUGGAGCCGACCUUGAAAUACCACCCUUUAAUGUUUGAUGUUCUAACGUGGACCCGUAAUCCGGGUUGCGGACAGUGUCUGGUGGGUAGUUUGACUGGGGCGGUCUCCUCCUAAAGAGUAACGGAGGAGCACGAAGGUUGGCUAAUCCUGGUCGGACAUCAGGAGGUUAGUGCAAUGGCAUAAGCCAGCUUGACUGCGAGCGUGACGGCGCGAGCAGGUGCGAAAGCAGGUCAUAGUGAUCCGGUGGUUCUGAAUGGAAGGGCCAUCGCUCAACGGAUAAAAGGUACUCCGGGGAUAACAGGCUGAUACCGCCCAAGAGUUCAUAUCGACGGCGGUGUUUGGCACCUCGAUGUCGGCUCAUCACAUCCUGGGGCUGAAGUAGGUCCCAAGGGUAUGGCUGUUCGCCAUUUAAAGUGGUACGCGAGCUGGGUUUAGAACGUCGUGAGACAGUUCGGUCCCUAUCUGCCGUGGGCGCUGGAGAACUGAGGGGGGCUGCUCCUAGUACGAGAGGACCGGAGUGGACGCAUCACUGGUGUUCGGGUUGUCAUGCCAAUGGCACUGCCCGGUAGCUAAAUGCGGAAGAGAUAAGUGCUGAAAGCAUCUAAGCACGAAACUUGCCCCGAGAUGAGUUCUCCCUGACUCCUUGA